GUACUUGCUUCGGCAGUAUAUAGACUAAAAUUGCAACGACACAGAGAAGAUUAGCGUGGCCCCUGCUCAUAGUUACAGUUACAUAUAGGAAUUAAUUACAGUUAC
Molecule: small nuclear RNA, 105 nt
Filed under: Stegodyphus mimosarum
Lineage: Eukaryota; Metazoa; Arthropoda; Arachnida; Araneae; Eresidae
Source: RNAcentral